Molecule: long non-coding RNA, 827 nt
Filed under: Chlamydomonas reinhardtii
Lineage: Eukaryota; Viridiplantae; Chlorophyta; Chlorophyceae; Chlamydomonadales; Chlamydomonadaceae
Description: long non-coding RNA (CREI_LNC000570)
Source: RNAcentral
ACCGUGUCCGCCACCCACGGCGACAUGGACCAGAACACGCGCGAUGUGAUCAUGCGCGAGUUCCGCUCCGGCUCGUCGCGUGUGCUGAUCACCACCGACCUGCUGGCCCGCGGCAUUGACGUGCAGCAGGUGUCGCUGGUCAUCAACUACGACCUGCCCACCCAGCCCGAGAACUACCUGCACCGCAUUGGUCGCUCGGGCCGCUUCGGACGCAAGGGUGUUGCCAUCAACUUCGUGACCAAGGUAAGCGGCUGGGCAAGGAGGUCAAUGAAAGGCGAUGUUCGGAACUCUUGCUGGAGCCGAAUAUGGAUUGGGAAAGGGUGCUUGGCCGGCGCGUGUCAGCGCUGAAGCAUUGAUGACGCGAUGAUGAGAGUGGCAGUAAGGCGUGCUGCUGUGGAACGCGGGACCUGGCACCUGCUGACUCUCAACCAUAUCCUUGUGCCUUUGCAGGACGACGAGCGCAUGCUCCAGGACAUCCAGCGGUUCUACAACACCGUGAUUGAGGAGCUGCCCUCGAACGUCGCUGACCUCAUCUAAGCGCUCUACUACCACCAAAUGUGCGCUAGCCCCUGGGUCCAGCCGAUCCCAAGCACGGGGCGAAGCCUGCAGGAUGUGAAGGGCACGGGGCAGGGCGCGCCGCCACGCAGCCGCCCCGUGACCCGACAACGUGCUGUACGUGCUGCGCUGCGAGUCCUUUUGAACACGGGCCGUCGUUGCGGGUGGUAAACGUGAACCUGUGUUGAGGCGGGUCGGCGCAGCUUCGGUUGCAGCCAUUUGAGAGAGAAGGAAGUUUGCCGGUUUGCAAACGGCAGGAGUUUUGUCGCGAC